This 472-nucleotide ribosomal RNA is filed under the name uncultured bacterium. RNAcentral's name for it is "bacterial SSU rRNA". It matches the Rfam family "Bacterial small subunit ribosomal RNA", at positions 1 to 507 of the family's 1533-position model. The record is from RNAcentral.
ACGACUACGAGUUUGAUCAUGGCUCAGAUUGAACGCUGGCGGCAUGCCUUACACAUGCAAGUCGAACGGCAGCACGGGAGCAAUCCUGGUGGCGAGUGGCAGACGGGUGAGUAACGCGUGGGAAUGUACCUUCCAGUUCGGAAUAACCAUUGGAAACGAUGGCUAAUACCGGAUACGUCCGAGAGGAGAAAGCUUUAGUGCUGGAAGAGCAGCCCGCGUAUGAUUAGGUAGUUGGUUAGGUAAAGGCUGACCAAGCCCAUGAUCAUUAGCUGGUUUGAGAGGAUGAUCAGCCACACUGGGACUGAGACACGGCCCAGACUCCUACGGGAGGCAGCAGUGGGGAAUAUUGGACAAUGGGGGAAACCCUGAUCCAGCAAUGCCGCGUGAGUGAUGAAGGCCUUCGGGUUGUAAAGCUCUUUUAUCAGGGACGAUAAUGACGGUACCUGAUGAAUAAGCACCGGCUAACUUCGUG